CAUGGAGUCCACGCCACAGAUGUUUCGGCCCCUGCAGAUUUUGUAGAAUCCAUUCUCUCCCCAGUUCUCUCCCCAGGAGUUCUUGAUGAUCCAGUAUGGCUUUUCCUUCAAUCUGAUGGGAGAAUAUCCAGCUGCACCGUAACCUACGAGUAACACCCCGUGAUCCAACCGCUUUGAGCAUAUGUAGGGGCAUGAAACUCCACCAACAUAAGUUUGCAUGAACACCGCGUUAAUAGCCACUGCACUCGAACAACGGAAAAUCGUUAACACCAGCCAAUCCUAACCACUAUUAGAGCUUAUGCCAACAUCUUUAACGUAACGCUCUGAAAUUUCACGAUGAACAUAUGAAUAACAAACUACUUAUUAACAGAAAGGGAAAGAAACAAAAUUACAAAUUUCUAAAGUUCUAAGUACCUGCAAGAGGACCAUUUUUCACAAGGUUGGCAGCAAUUUGAUCCUCAUCGAGGGAGACAACGCUGAAAUUGGAAACUGAUGCUGCGAUUUUGCUCUCGUCAAAUUUGCAGGUUCCACGAUCAGUACCAGUGUAUGGAUAAUCCUCUUCCUUCAUUAGUCCACCAGCUUUGAGUGUGUACUCAAAGGCACUGUUCAUGAGUCCACCAUUGCAUCCGGAGUCACAUGAACCUGCCUCCUCUGGAUCACACUGCACAAUGUUCAGAAGGAACGCGUAAGAAACAGCAAUUUAAGGAAAAAUCCUCUCAGUAGGAGUCAUCAUAGAAUGAUUGCAAAAGUCAAGCAGUUCUAUUGCUCAAUAACAAGCAUCAUUCAUUAUGUACUACUACGAAACACAAACACAAGAACUUGAUAACACCAUUCGACAUGCAUUCCUAAUGUAUUAUCAAAGACAACAAAUUGCAACACAUGUAGAAUGAGAACGGUGCUUCAUAAGCAGGAGCGCAUACAUUUCAUCAACGCUGGUUAAAAACAAGAACCACUUCUGUUUCAAAUCCUUCAACACAAUAAGCAAACAACAACCAUUGACCUUUUAGAUCCAAAUGAAACUUAUACAUAUCACAAUCUUAAUAAAUCCAAGACAAAACCCGCCAUGAAUUGUGAUAAACAAAUUAAAACCAAGCAACGCCCGGUUAAAGUAUUCAACAAUCAUGUCACUCCUGAACUCAACACAGAACAGACUAAUACUCACCAACAAUAAGGUUAUAAAUACAACAGAUAUAACAAACAGCAGACACCAAUCACAUCAUAAAGACCAUAUUUCCUGCAACUUAUAAACCAAAUUUUUAGCUAAAUCCUUACAAUUUCAACCUUUUUCCAUUCUCCUUGUGACAAGUGUUGAGACUUCAGACACCGUCUCAGGGUAUGUUAUAAAUGCAACCAAAAAGUUCAAGUUUGUGCCCUUCACUACUGCCAGACAAAAACAAAGUAUAUUUGAGGAAGAUAACUAUUCGUCCUCAUCCAGAUUCCAUGUGGGGCCUCCACAUGCAGACCACAAUUACAAAUUAUUUGAACAAAACAAUUGUAACAAAUAUUCUGACACAAACCCAAAAGAAUUUGCCAAUCAAAAUCGAACAAAAUCAACCAAUCGAAAUCCCCAAAAUAUAUACAAACUAAUAAAAACGCCCAAUUCUUCAUACAGCAGAAACACACCAAAUAAAACAAAAAGAAAAAGAAGCAGUCAAACCUCAUGAUCGCAAUCCACAAGCUGCUGCUCGCUGAGGCUCACAAGAUCUCCAGUUGCGAGAAAGUGUGCACCUUCCAACGCUCCUGUAGUACUGAAACUCCAGCACGAUCCGCACGAACCCUAAUUUCCAAAAAAAAAAAACACCCCGAAUAUCCCAAUCAAUAAACAGAUACCUUAAAGUUAAGUUACAAAAAAAUUACUAAAAAUAAAAAGAAUAAAAGACCUGAUUUUUAACGGCGGUGACGGCUCCAUGCUCCCUCCAAUCAAAAUCCUCAGGCAGAUUCUCCGUCGGGAGAAUCGGAGCCUUGGUGGCGUCCUCGGGCAGCUUCAGCCCUCUGAGUCCGAGUUGACUUUUCCGGAACUCGGCAGGGGUCAUAUCGGAGAACCGAGUCACGCCGUGCUGAGCCGAGGGGUCGAGCCGCUGGUGGCGCGCGGCACGGCGGAGGUUCGCCUUGAACACGUCGAACCUGUAGUCGUGCUCCUCCUUGCUCGCGUACGACUUGCCGUAUUUGUGCUUGAAGAGCGAGAAGUGGUGCUCGGCCCCGAGAACGUGGUCGUGGUCGUGGUCGUGGUGGGACUCAUCGCCGCCGUCCACCACUUGCCUGAUCAGGGGAUCUGCGCUGUCCGAUUGCGCACGCGAGACGAUCAGGAGAGAGAAAGUGACGAGGAGAGAGAGAAUGCGUUCCAUUGUUGAACAGCAGAGGCCGAUUGGUAGCCCCCCGGAGGACUUGGCUUGGUUUAUAAAGUCGACGAGGACCUGAAGUGUUUAAUCCUAUGCGGUCGGGUUUAAGCAUAAAAGAGAACACAACCGUUGAAAAAUGAAACCUAGUAAUGAUUGAACGAAAGCGACGGUGAUGAUGUGCGGGAGUUUAGGAGUGUGGUGUAGAUAAUGGAUUUUAGUGGGGUUUGCUUACGGGAGCGGGUAAUGUGUGGCCGAAUCACAAGGCGGCACGUGGAGGGGGGGGAUUGUGUGGAGUGUUGGAUUUGAAUGGUAGUUGGAUAAUGCCAUUGUUUGUUUGGCUUUGAAAUUUGAUGGGGGAUGGUUAUUUUGUUUGUUUUCUUGUUGGAGAAAAUAACGAGAAGCCGAAUAAGGGAAAGAUGCCGAUUAUGAUGUUUUGCAAAUAUUUAAAUGAUUUAUUUUGGAAAUAUGAUUUUUAGAUGAUGAUAAAAAAAAAUAAUGAUUUUCAUUAUAAUAUUCGAAUUAUAAAAAUUCAUAAAUGGUGAGCGAAUGGACAAUUAGAUCUCACAUGAGGAAAUACAAGCAUUAUCCUUCUUGUAAGGAGGUUUGUUUUCAAUGUCACCCGUUGAUGGAUGUCAAUCUCUUACGUGUGUGAUCUAAUUAUGUAUGUGAGACGCACAAUUGUAAAUUUGUACACAUCAAUCCCGGAUGAUGAUUGUUGUGUACAUAAUGUUAUCUUUGAGAAUAAAAUAUAAAAGUUGAUAACAAAGUACAUGAUUUAAGUAAAUAACUAUAAGAAAUUAGAAUUUUUUUUGGAAAUUUAUUUCAGAAUAAUCGGAAUUGCUAAAUGCAUUCCAAUUUUUGUUACAAUUGUUUGGAAAAUAUUCAGGUUUAGAAUUUUUAGUUCUUCGGAGAUUUUACUAUCAGAAAUCGGUGACCUACUCCAACUUGCACCCCUAAAAAUGGAAGUUGGAUUGGGAUUUCUAGGUACGGUAAGUCUGCAUAACAUGUAAUAACCGUAGUUUACGAUUAUGAGGUCAUGAACAGUUAGGGUGGUUUGUUUUGUUUGAGUUGAUGGGCUAUCAAGAACGGCAAAACAUGGUCUGUAUGUUGCUUGCAAUCCAACAGGAUUUUGGUGCCCAAGUUACAAUUAUAUUAUUUUUGUUAUGGAACAAACAUAUUCUAGCUGUUAUUCUACAUUUUUGGACUUGGUUUUAAGAAAGUUUGGAAGCCUUCAAAGAACGUUUGGGGUAGAACGAAACAGUAACACAGUACUAACACUAAUUAUUCAUUACACUUAUUUAUGUUGAGAGGGAGAGAAAUUUUGUUAUGCGUUAUUCUGACCAGUUGAUUAUUUGACUUGAUAAACAUUCCAUCUAAUUGCUAACAAGUUCAAUCCAUCUAGCACUCCAACUCAUAAAUGUUAGCAAUUAGAUAUAUACAUACAAAUGAUAAUGAGUUACAAGUAUCAAACAAAAUAUUAUGGCAUGUUUGUUAAUAACCAAGAGUAUGAUUCUCAUUCAUGCAUGUGUUUACUAACAACCAAGAAAUGAAAAACAAUAAAUGCAUAUGGGUAAUUUCAUGCUUUUAUAAAAUUUGAAAAAAUAACCAAAAUUUAGACCCAUAUACAAUUAUAGUCACUCUUUUAAGUUUAUAAAAAUUAUAACAAAAAACUGAUAUGAAAGUACUAAAAUGAGAACCAAAAAGCAAAAAUAAAAUUAAAAUGGGAAUCGCCUCCCUCUAAACCUCAAAGCCCACCUCCUUCUCAAAAAAUAUAGAUUAAUUCUGCUGCUCUUUUUCGGCGUUGUCAUCUUCCUCCUCUUUUUGGUCGUCCAUGUUACAUCACUCGCCCACAAGGUAGGGGAGGUUGGUCAAUGGAUCUCCAAUGCCUAAGUCAACAUCUCUGAGUAUAGUGAUUGUGUUUCAGUGUAACAUAGAUUAUUUAAGUUGAUACCUUAAUCUACCAUAAUAUUAAACUGACUGACUCGUGAAAAAGGAUCUUCAAAUGAGGACAUUAAGAGAACAGUUAUGUAUGUGAAUAUAAUCUCAAUUGUGAUGGGAGAGAUCUGAAGUUGGAUGCAUAGAGGAGCACAUGGGCUUUAAUCACAACAUAAUUGUGCCUGCAUUUGCAACUGGAAGAAAGUGUUAAAGAAGUCAAAGCAUCUAGCCAACGAACGCGACUGUAGUGUGUUCGAAGUUUAAUUUUUAAUUUUGGUACAAGAUAUAUAAUUUACAUGAUAUUUAAGUAGUUCAGAUCUAUCCGCUAAAUUCGUCAGUCAAGAUCCAAUAGCUAAUCUACUGACUGUAGUGUGUACAUGACUAACAUGUCUAUAUAUAUAUUAUGUGCAGUUCAAUACCAAAUACUACUAUGUGGUUGGAAUUGGCCACACUGAGCGGAAGUUCUGGUUUAUUACUCCUGAAGUUGGUCCGGACGCCACUUACACCUUUGGACUCAUAGGUGAGUGUUUUGUAUCAGAAUAGGAUGCAUCCUAAAGUGAUGUAGCUACUUAGAUUUGGUUCAACUUGUAGAAUUGGGAUCCAAAGAAAAUUUCAUGCUAUGUACUAGUUUGAGGUUGUUGCAAUGUGCCUCUUCCAUUCAUCUCGAAAGAUGGGAAACCAAAUUAUAAUUCUUCAUCUUAUGAAACUUGUACUCUGGUAUAUGUGCAACUCCGUAAAUUGGAAGAGUUUGCCUUAACUUGGGAACUGAAUAAUGAAGAGACUCAACUGUUAGUGUUUUGCGAUGUAAAUUGCUGGGCUCUGGUGUGUUUGCUUACAUCUAAUAUCAUUUGCAGGGGAUCUGGGACAGACCUAUGACUCAAAUAAGACACUUACUCAUUACGAGUUAAACCCGCGGAAAGGACAAGCUGUACUGUUUGUUGGGGACCUCUCUUAUGCAGAUCAGUACCCAAAUCAUGACAAUGUCAGGUGGUAUACUUGGGGAAGAUUCGUCGAGAGAAGUGUUGCUUAUCAAUCUUGGAUAUGAACUGCAGGGAAUUAUGAAAUCGAUUUUGCCCCGGAAAUUGAAAGCUUCUCAUAACGCAUUAGAGUUGAUCUUACAAUCUUAUUUGUCAUUUCUCGCUUGGAUAAGAUCAUCUUCUUUUUCAAGUUUAUCAUUUAGUAUAAUGAUCCUUUGCUGCUCAUGUUUUAUAAAUUUACAACUCCCAAAAAUUUGAUUGCGUGAAGUAAUUUUCUGAAGAAGAUUUGCGCUUUUGUUGCAGGGUGAAACCAAACCUUUUAAGCCUUGCAGUCACCGGUAUCAUGUCCCAUAUGAAUCAUCUGGGAGUACUUCCCCCUUCUGGUAUUCGAUCAAGAGAGCUUCGGCAUACAUCAUAGUCUUGUCUUCUUAUUCCGCAUAUGGUAAGGAUAGGCAUACACACACAUACACAUAGGUUUUUCGCUUAAUUUAUUCAAAAGAUGCACAAGGCAUAUGCAUGUAUAUAGCGGAAAAAAAAAGCUUAGCAGUUACAAAAAAAAUUUCUCUGAAUGUCACAUGAAUAACUAUGGCAUCUGUAUAAUUUUUAUAAUUGUCGUAAUGAGAUAAACAGAUAAAGUCAUAUCACUCCUCUUUUGUACCAUGUUGUAUGUACCUUAAAGUUAAUUCGUCUCUACAAAGGACACUGUCUAAAUUGUUUUGAAUGCCAGUACUCAUGGUUUUUAUAACGUAGUGAUAUAUUGUAGUGACUGUAUUUUCAAACGAUAGAUUAUGCUCCCAAAACUAUCCUUUACGUUUACACUAAGUAGAUGAUCUCCAUAAAGCUAGAGAGGCCAUCUGUACGAAGUCUAUGUUAAAUUGAUUACUAGAACAAUUUCAUUUUAACACCAUUCUUUUUCUUAAGGUAUAUACACCCCUCACAUGGCUCCAGGAGGAACUACUGAAGGUUAAUAGAAGCGAGACACCAUGGUUGAUUAUUUUAAUGCAUUCCCCGUGGUAUAACAGCUACAACUAUCACUAUAUGGAAGGAGAAACCAUGAGAGUGAUGAAUGAGCCAUGGUUUUCGAAGUACAGAGUUGACGUGGUAUUUGCUGGUCAUGUCCAUGCAUAUGAACGAUCUGUAAGUUCUUGAUAUACACGUCCGUAUCUAUUAAAGAGUAUAGUUUCUCAGUUAUUUGAUGUGGUGAUAUCUGCAUAGAACUGGACAUUAUACCUAAAAACUUUGUUACUAUUUUUAGUUUGUACGAGAAAGUUCUAAAUUCAAUGAAAUGACAAGCUUUAUCAAACAUUUUAAUCUUUUGAUAAAAUAUAGGAAAUCCAUUUAACGACGAGUAAACUGCAGAAAUAUCCCUCUCUGAUACACUCUCCUUUUACCAUCCUCCAUUCACAGUGAUGGUUCAAUAUGUCAGUACUUGAUAAGUGAUUUCUGUACAACACAGGAACGUGUAUCCAAUGUUGCAUACAACAUCGUCAAUGGCAUUUGCAAACCUGUGAAAGAUCAAUCUGCACCAGUGUACAUUACCAUUGGUGACGGAGGAAAUAUUGAAGGCUUAGCGACCAAGUAAGUAUAUCAGUAUGCUUGAUAUAUCGGUGUUUCAUGACUCAUCGUCCUUCUGUUUGUUAACACUGCAUGCAUAAUCUACAAACAUUUUCUUUUGUUGUGCAGUAUGACCGAACCACAGCCAGAUUACUCAGCUUAUAGAGAGGCCAGUUUUGGUCAUGCUACUUUCGACAUCAAGAAUCGAACACAUGCUUACUAUAGUUGGCACCGUAAUCAAGAUGGAUAUGCAGUAAAAGCCGAUUCGAUUUGGUUUUUCAACAGAUUCUAUCAUCCUGUAGAUGAUUCCACAACUGCCAAAUCAUGACAGGGCACUGUUAUUGUUGUUUUGAAUAAACUCCUCAGCAAAUAGAAGAUUCAAUACUUUCUUCAACCUUAUCUUUUGGACAGCAUAUUCAAGAUUCAAUACAUGCUUAAAGUUGAAACUUGAAUCUCAUUAUUUGAAUCUAAACCCAUCUGAACAGCAAGAUAAAAGCUGGUGCGAGUUACAAUCUGAAAUGAAAGAGAGUGAUCUGACAAGAGUGAAAAAACAGACUCAUUCUACUUAAACCAAAAACUAUUUUAAUUAUUUUCACAUUCACGAUUAUGUUUUCAUUCAUUCGUCUUUGUUUUUUUCACCUUUGUUCCACCACCCUUAUUUCUUCCUCUAUUCCCUCGUAUAGUUUUCUCACAUCUCAAAGAAAAAAAGUGAAAACUAAAAAUUGAAAACGAAAUAAUUAUUUAACGGCCACAAAUAUUUCAUAUUCAAGUGAUAAGAUUUUUUUUGCCAGCAAAAUUUAGUGGCGAGUUGAGCCCUACACAAGUUUUUCUCCUUUUACAAUAUUUACAUGUUUGAUUAAUUAGUAAUGUUACAUCUUGGGAUCCACUGGUGACACAAGAAAUUAAAUUUUUAUGAAACAAGAAGGUUGUAUAAACAUGUUGAAGGAGAAAUGUAUGUAUGUUACAAGCCACACAAAUGAGUGAUUUUACUAUUUAUGUGUUAUAAAUUAUAAUAGGUGUAGAAGAUGGAAUAUAAAUAAAGUAAUAUUAUCACGUGACGGAUGUACCGUACAUUCAUACUAUAUAAGAUUUUACAUGAAGAAGUUGAGAAAAAUAAACUAUUAUGUACUCAAAAUAUGCUUGAUUUGUGAUUGUCUUAAUCACCAAUUGAAUGGUUAAAUGGGAGGGUUUAUGCUUUCGUUUUUUCUUUUUUUUUUUGUUUGAUAAAAUUUAUGCUUUAGUUUUAUUGUUAAUGAUUGUUAAACAUGCCAAAUGGCGUUAAAAAGUACAGUGAUUGUAUAAAAGAAGCCACACUCAAA
RNAcentral lists this long non-coding RNA (8124 nucleotides) under Malus domestica (apple). RNAcentral's name for it is "long non-coding RNA (MDOM_LNC009133)". The record is from RNAcentral. Lineage: Eukaryota; Viridiplantae; Streptophyta; Magnoliopsida; Rosales; Rosaceae.